RNAcentral lists this ribosomal RNA (825 nucleotides) under Paraphoma radicina. RNAcentral describes it as "SSU rRNA". It matches the Rfam family "Eukaryotic small subunit ribosomal RNA", at positions 68 to 904 of the family's 1831-position model. Lineage: Eukaryota; Fungi; Ascomycota; Dothideomycetes; Pleosporales; Phaeosphaeriaceae. The record is from RNAcentral.
AGCAUUAUACCGUGAAACUGCGAAUGGCUCAUUAAAUCAGUUAUCGUUUAUUUGAUAGUACCUUACUACUUGGAUAACCGUGGUAAUUCUAGAGCUAAUACAUGCUGAAAACCCCGACUUCGGGAGGGGUGUAUUUAUUAGAUAAAAAACCAACGCCCUUCGGGGCUUCUUGGUGAUUCAUGAUAACUUCACGGAUCGCAUGGCCUUGCGCCGGCGACGGUUCAUUCAAAUUUCUGCCCUAUCAACUUUCGAUGGUAAGGUAUUGGCUUACCAUGGUUUCAACGGGUAACGGGGAAUUAGGGUUCGAUUCCGGAGAGGGAGCCUGAGAAACGGCUACCACAUCCAAGGAAGGCAGCAGGCGCGCAAAUUACCCAAUCCCGACACGGGGAGGUAGUGACAAUAAAUACUGAUACAGGGCUCUUUUGGGUCUUGUAAUUGGAAUGAGUACAAUUUAAACCUCUUAACGAGGAACAAUUGGAGGGCAAGUCUGGUGCCAGCAGCCGCGGUAAUUCCAGCUCCAAUAGCGUAUAUUAAAGUUGUUGCAGUUAAAAAGCUCGUAGUUGAAACUUGGGCCUGGCUGGCAGGUCCGCCUCACCGCGUGUACUUGUCCGGCCGGGCCUUUCCUUCUGGAGAACCUCAUGCCCUUCACUGGGUGUGCUGGGGAACCAGGACUUUUACUUUGAAAAAAUUAGAGUGUUCAAAGCAGGCCUUUGCUCGAAUACGUUAGCAUGGAAUAAUAGAAUAGGACGUGCGGUCCUAUUUUGUUGGUUUCUAGGACCGCCGUAAUGAUUAAUAGGGACAGUCGGGGGCAUCAGUAUUCAAUUG